This 500-nucleotide ribosomal RNA is filed under the name uncultured archaeon. RNAcentral's name for it is "bacterial SSU rRNA". It matches the Rfam family "Archaeal small subunit ribosomal RNA", at positions 924 to 1421 of the family's 1478-position model. The record is from RNAcentral.
AUCUUACCGGGACCGACAGCGAUAUCCCUUUUUUGGGUGAAGACUUUGCCGGAUUAUCUGAGAGGUGGUGCAUGGCCGUCGUCAGUUCGUACUGUGAAGCAUCCUGUUAAGUCAGGCAACGAGCGAGACCCACGCCCACAGUUGCCAGCGUACUCUCCGGAGUGAUGGGUACACUGUGGGGACCGCCGCUGCUAAAGCGGAGGAAGGAAUGGGCAACGGUAGGUCAGUAUGCCCCGAAUAUCCCGGGCUACACGCGAGCUACAAUGGUUGGUACAAUGGGUAUCUACCCCGAGAGGGGAUGGCAAUCUCCUAAAACCAGUCUUAGUUCGGAUUGAGGGCUGCAACUCGCCCUCAUGAAGCUGGAAUCCGUAGUAAUCGCGUUUCAACAGAACGCGGUGAAUACGUCCCUGCUCCUUGCACACACCGCCCGUCAAACCACCCGAGUAGGGUCUGAAUGAGAGCGCUUACCAAUCGGAGGCGUUCGAAUUUGGGCUUUGCAA